Molecule: non-coding RNA, 200 nt
Filed under: Symbiodinium sp. Mp
Lineage: Eukaryota; Dinophyceae; Suessiales; Symbiodiniaceae
Source: RNAcentral
AAGAAGGUGUAUGUGGGUCUUUGGCGGGGCGCUCGACGAUACCACCUAUUCCGACCUCUGGUGCUAUUCGUAUGAUGCAGCAGAAUGGACGGAGUUCCCUCCCCAGGGAGACGGACCUUCAUCGCGGCAUUCUGCUUCAGCAGUCUGGCGGGAGGGAAGCAUGAUCCUGUUUGGUGGCAUAGUCGGCUCCACGUAUUUUG